This 246-nucleotide ribosomal RNA is filed under the name uncultured bacterium. Its description in RNAcentral is "partial small subunit ribosomal RNA". It matches the Rfam family "Bacterial small subunit ribosomal RNA", at positions 26 to 285 of the family's 1533-position model. The record is from RNAcentral.
AGAAUCAACGCUGGCGGCGUGCCUAACACAUGCAAGUCGAACGAGAAAGUGGAGCAAUCCACGAGUAAAGUGGCGCACGGGUGAGUAACACGUGACUAACCUACCCUUGAGUGGGGAAUAACUGAGGGAAACCUUAGCUAAUACCGCAUAACACCUACGGGUCAAAGGAGCAAUUCGCUUUUGGGAGGGGGUCGCGGCAGAUUAGCUAGUUGGCGGGGUAAUGGCCCACCAAGGCGAUGAUCUGUA